GAUAAAAUUGUUUAUCAGGUGAAGAUCUAUCUACCCUGAAAUUUUCAGAUGAAUCUGACAACCUGUUGUUGGGUUGCUGCCCCUGAAUUAGUAAUUUUAAGGAAAUUUUGCUGUUUUUGGUUAUUAUCUUGUAUAUUAUUAUAGAUAGAGAUAAACUGUAAACAGCCAUUAUGUUCAGCAAAGUAAGAUUUACAAAUAAGUCAACAUGACCGAAAUGGUCAGUUGACCCCUUUAGGAGUUAUUGCCCUUUAUAGUCAAUUUUUAACCAUUUUUCGUAAAUCUUAGUAAUCUUUUACAAAAAUCUUCUCCUCUGAAACUACUGGGCCAAUUUAAUCCAAACUUAUCUACAAUCAUCUUUGGGGUAUCUAGUUUAAAAAAUGUGUUCGAUGACCCGGCCAUCCAACCAAGAUGGCCGCCAUGGCUAAAAAUAGAACAUAGGGGUAAAAUGCAGUUUUUGGCUUAUAACUCAAAAACCAAAGCGUUUAGAGCAAAUCUGACAUGGGGUUAAAUUGUUUAUCAGGUCAAGAUCUAUCUGCCCCGAAAUUUUCAGAUGAAUCGGACAACCCGUUGUUGGGUUGCUGCCCCCUGAAUUGGUAAUUUUAAGGAAAUUUUGCUGUUUUUGGUUAUUGUCUUGAAUAUUAUUAUAGAUAGAGAUAAACUGUAAACAGCAAUAAUGUUCAGCAAAGUAAGAUUUACAAAUAAGUCAACAUGACCGAAAUGGUCAAUUGACCCCCUAAGGAGUUAUUGUCCUUUAUAGUCAAUUUUCAACAAUUUUUUAUAAAAUUUGUAAAUUUUUACUAACAUUUUCCACUGAAACUACUGGGCCAAGUUCAUUAUAGAUAGAGAUAAUUGUAAGCAGCAAGGAUGUUCAGUAAAGUAAGAUGUACAAACACACCAACAUCACCAAAAUACAAUUUUGUCAUGAAUCCAUCUGCUUCUUUUGUUUAAUAGUCACAUAGACCAAGGUGAGCGACACAGGCUCUUUAGAGCCUCUAGUUUCACAAAAGCAUUUAAUAUUCCUAAAUUUGUUUUAUACUCAUGAUACAUCUGAGCUUAACAAUAAGUUUUAAAGCAUUCCUUUUUAAAUAAAAAAUUAUAGGAACUUGGAUGAUUGCAGACAUAAUCAUUUUCACAUUAAUAUAUAAUGUUAUUAAGUAAUGCUUUCUUACAAUGUUUACACUACAUCUAGAAUAGUAGGAAGUGAGGGAUUAUGUUUUUGUCCCUUUCCCAUAGUAGGUUUCAAUAUUUAGUGAAAGUAUUUUACCAUGAAGUUGCAUUCAAAUCAACAACAUGUUACUUACUGUAGUACAUUCACACAAAUAGGAAGAUGUGUUAUGACAACUAACCACACAAGAGUCCAAAUCAAUUGAUGUAAUUAACUAUAGGUCACUGUAUGGCUUUGUAAAAUGACCUCCCUUAGUCUGCUAUUUUAAAAAGGCCUGAACAUGGCUAAAACUUGACGGAGAAAACCGAUGGCAUGAUAUAUAACAUAACAUUAAUGAAAAAAAAAUAUGAUAGACAACAAACAACAAAAAUUUCUGAAUUAUAGCUCUUCUCAAAUGUACCUUUUAACAAAAAAAUGGUUUAAAUUUUACAUCAAUUGAUCAUUCAGAUUCAUGUAUUUUCUUCAAAGAUUCUGUUGCUAGUAAUUUUAAAAACCAGAAAACAUAUUUUGUUGCCUAUUAUAUUUUAUAUUUGGGUAUUUCAUUAUGACAAUAAUUUGUAAAUUGAGUUGGAUAACUUUUUUUUACCAUUUUAAAAUUGAAGAAAAACAUUUUCAAAGUUUUAUUCCGUUAUCAGUUGAACAUAUAUUUUAAAAAUUCAUUUAUUUAGUAUCCAUUAGCAAGCAUAUCUGUACAUGCUAGUUAUUUGCUGAAUUUACUGCUUAUAAGUUUAAGGUAGAUAGGGUGUCUUCCUCCAUUUUGGAUUUUGAAAUACCAGAAAACAAGGUCUAGAUUUUAGAUAAAAUGUGCAAAUUUUGAGAUUAGUAGGUAAUUCAUGUGUAAGAUUUUUCAUUAUAAUAUAGAAAAUGCCAUGUUUUAUCAUAUUUAGGGUUGUAUUUUACCAAAAAAACAAAUACUUUUGUUUGAUUCAUUUUUUUCCAACUUUGCCAAAUAAGGGGAGACAACUCAAAUGCAAGGGCAGAUAAUUCAAAUAGUGUUACUUUUACAAUAGAAUAUGUUAGGAAUUUACCAAUUUUAUUAUGUAGCAAGAAAACGAGUCCGGUGACCCCAUUUUUUAUUCUUCUUAUCUGAAAAAAUAUUAUUGGAGCUAUCUUCUCAUAUUUUAUCUCAAAAUUCUAUUGUGUAGUUUUCGUUUAUGACUGAAAAUUGGGUUUUCCAUGCAUAAUCUAUACAAAAUCUGACAAUUUUGCACAAUCUGUAGUGUGAAAAUAAGUCCGGUGACCCAUUCUUUUUAUUAAUGUUCUUAAACAAGCAGGAUAUAAACUACAUUUUGGCAAAUUAUUAAGAAAUUCUAUGGAUUAUAAUUUAGACACCCCAUCUACCUUAAGUGAACUUUAUAUUUUCUUAAGCAAAUAAAUUCCUUGUUGACCAAUACACAUCUCUUCCGUAAAUCUAUCAGAAUAAGACAGUGUAUAUGUUCUACAUCAAAUAUGUGAUCUUAUGAGGGCUGUUCCAUUAUAAUGGAAGAGGUAGGUAGAGGAUUCUGAUAUACCCUAACACCCAAGAAACUUUCUUUGAGUAAUUUUUCAUACUUUUAGUCAUGUUAGUUGUACAAAUUUAUCAUGUUUAUACUGCUUUUAACCCAUGCUCAAAAAUAAUAUUUUCAUUUCUAUUCUCCCCCUCCCAUUUAACGAUAAAAACAUUUUCUGCUUUUUUUCAAAGGUUACCAGGGAUUCCUUAAUCAUGUGACAAAUUGUGUACGAACAUCCUGAUUGUAUAAAAUUUAUUUUCAUUUCUAUUCUCCCCUCCCAUUUAACAAUUAAAAACAUUUUCUGCUUUUUUUCAAAGGUUACCAGGGAUUCCUUAAUCAUGUGACAAAUUGUGUACGAACAUCCUGAUUGUAUAAAAUUUUCAUUUUCAUUUCUAUUCUCCCCCUCCCAUUUAACGAUAAAAACAUUUUCUGCUUUUUUCAAAGGUUACCAGGGAUUCCUUAAUCAUGUGACAAAUUGUGUACGAACAUCCUGAUCGUAUAAAAUUUUCAUUUUCAUUUCUAUUCUCACCCUCCCAUUUAACGAUAAAAAUAUUUUCUGCUUCUUUCAAAGGUUACCAAGGAAACCUUAAUCAUGGGACAAAUUAUAUACAAAUAUCCUGAUCUUAUUAGUUAUGCUAGUAAUAUAUUAGGUGUUUUUGUAUUUUUCCAUUAUUAGUGCUAGAAAAAGCAAAAAUUUGUAUUAUUACAGAGUUUGAUACUGAAAUGACACAAUUUGAAUCUCAUGCUUUCAGUAUAUGCUCACUUAAGAUAUUUUAUCAGACCAUUAUUAUGAACAGAAAUAAAUGCUGAAAAUAAACAUGAUCAAAGACUUAUGUUUUAUUUAUAAGAUUUAAGGUUGAUCUGAAACAAUUUUAUUUGGUUGAUGGAAGUUUUAUUAAGAUUCAAAUUCGUUUUUUGGCGUAAU
RNAcentral lists this long non-coding RNA (3580 nucleotides) under Mytilus galloprovincialis (Mediterranean mussel). Lineage: Eukaryota; Metazoa; Mollusca; Bivalvia; Mytilida; Mytilidae. The record is from RNAcentral.